RNAcentral lists this microRNA (21 nucleotides) under Pinus taeda (loblolly pine). Its description in RNAcentral is "pta-miR1316". Lineage: Eukaryota; Viridiplantae; Streptophyta; Pinopsida; Pinales; Pinaceae. The record is from miRBase by way of RNAcentral.
UCCAUACACAAACCAUUGGAA